AUUGAACGCUGGCGGCAGGCCUAACACAUGCAAGUCGAGCGGAUGAAGGGAGCUUGCUCCUGGAUUCAGCGGCGGACGGGUGAGUAAUGCCUAGGAAUCUGCCUGGUAGUGGGGGAUAACGUCCGGAAACGGGCGCUAAUACCGCAUACGUCCUGAGGGAGAAAGUGGGGGAUCUUCGGACCUCACGCUAUCAGAUGAGCCUAGGGCGGAUUAGCUAGUUGGUGGGGUAAAGGCCUACCAAGGCGACGAUCCGUAACUGGUCUGAGAGGAUGAUCAGUCACACUUGAACUGGGACACGGUCCAGACUCCUACGGGAGGCAGCAGUGGGGGAUAUUGGCCAAUGGGCGGAAGCCUGAACCAGCCAUGCCGCGUGGGUGAAGAAGGUCUUCGGAUUGUAAAGCACUUUAAGUUGGGAAGAAAGGCAGUAAGUUAAUACCUUGCUGUUCUGACGUUACCAACAGAAUAAGCACCGGCUAAAUUCGUGC
Molecule: ribosomal RNA, 485 nt
Filed under: uncultured bacterium
Lineage: Bacteria
Description: partial 16S ribosomal RNA
Rfam family: Bacterial small subunit ribosomal RNA
Source: RNAcentral